Non-coding RNA from Triticum urartu, 115 nucleotides. Lineage: Eukaryota; Viridiplantae; Streptophyta; Magnoliopsida; Poales; Poaceae. The record is from Rfam.
UUAGUACUCCCUCCGUUUCAAAUUACUUAUCGUAGGUAUGAACGCAUCUAGAUGUAUUUUAGUUCUAGAUACAUCUAUUUAUACGACGAGUAAUUUGAAACGGAGGAAGUACAUC